UACAGAGGUCUCAAGCGUUGUUCGGAAUCACUGGGCGUAAAGGGUGCGUAGGCGGCGCGGAAAGUCAGAUGUGAAAUCCGGAGGCUCAACCUCCGAAUUGCAUCCGAUACUACCGCGCUAGAGAUUUGUAGAGGAGCUUGGAAUUCUCGGUGUAGCAGUGAAAUGCGUAGAUAUCGAGAAGAACGCUCGCAGCGAAGGCGAAGCUCUGGGCAAAUUCUGACGCUGAUGCACGAAGGCUAGGGGAGCAAACGGG
RNAcentral lists this ribosomal RNA (253 nucleotides) under uncultured bacterium. RNAcentral's name for it is "partial 16S ribosomal RNA". It matches the Rfam family "Bacterial small subunit ribosomal RNA", at positions 524 to 776 of the family's 1533-position model. The record is from RNAcentral.